UGGCUCAGAACGAACGCUGGCGGCAGGCUUAACACAUGCAAGUCGAGCGGGCGUAGCAAUACGUCAGCGGCAGACGGGUGAGUAACGCGUGGGAACGUACCUUUUGGUUCGGAACAACACAGGGAAACUUGUGCUAAUACCGGAUAAGCCCUUACGGGGAAAGAUUUAUCGCCGAAAGAUCGGCCCGCGUCUGAUUAGCUAGUU
This 204-nucleotide ribosomal RNA is filed under the name uncultured bacterium. Its description in RNAcentral is "partial 16S ribosomal RNA". It matches the Rfam family "Bacterial small subunit ribosomal RNA", at positions 20 to 250 of the family's 1533-position model. The record is from RNAcentral.